UUAAAAACGAUGAUAUAGUCCUGCCAUGGGAUAUAUAGUGCCGCAUCACAGCAUCCCUAUACCUCUCCGCUCUGCACAGUGUUUCGUCCAUCCAACCUAUAGGCCAACAAACGCGCACGCAGACGCGGAAGUAUACUCAGUGAAGCUCGCUCCAUUGUUAAGCAUCGAAUUGCUUGGCCCAAUCGACUAGAGGAAAAAUAGUGAUUGACAGAUAUUUCCACCAAUGACUACUUAGCAACCGUAACUAGGUACUACUUCCCUCGUCAAGGUAGAGGAUUCUUGAACGUCUCUCUUCGCCUCCCCAGUGCCCACCGAAUUAGAUGCUAUUGGCCAAUUGUAUGUCAUUCAAACAGACCAGGCACUUCCAGUUCCAUGAACUUAUCGCACAGACCAGCUUAAGCCACGCGAAAGUGUAGGCAGUAGGCAAGUCAGAUGGUAGGCAAAAUGAGCUCGAUGUAGAGGUGACAGCGUGUUUCUUUCAGAAUAUGCUUUCAGACAUUCGUUUUUUUUUUUUUUUUUUUUUAAGUUUUAUCAUAAAGAUAGACUAAUAGCCUCUACCAGGAAAACGAUAUGAGGGUAAAAUAUUUUCUGUCAUUUGCACAUGCAUCCAAAUUUAGUGAAUCUUAAAAUAAAAAACUUUCUUUUUCCUAUAAAUGAAUCUGCCUUGUUAGGCUCAGGCCCCGUACUAAUUCAUUUUUCAGUAGAUUUUUUUUUCAUCCUGUGCAUAUUACCCUACCUAGGUAUUAAGCAGUCAAUGCUUAUUCCUAUCUCAGUCGAUUGCUUUGGGGUGCAGAGAUUACAGAGGGUACCAUAACCUACCACUGAUUACUGGCCUGUCAUGGACUAUUGUAACGAACGCAGAUGUCCAUGUGGGAUGCCCCGGUGCACCCUACAGAUGCUAAGCAUAAACGCACCUCACAUAGCAUAUCAGACGCAGGCUUCAUGGCAGAGGUGAAGGUGAAUAUAAGAAUUAAAGAUGCAUAGCCUGUAUGCUCUACAGAACCAUGUAGCCUUCUAAAUAAGCACAGUAGUUAAGAACAGAUAGGGCAGAAGGCUAGUCCAUAUUAUUACACGAAAUUCUAAUGCUGGACUUAUCACGAACAUGUCGAUUCCCUUUUUAAUCAAAUUCGUGGGCUUGUCGUAGGCUAAUCUCUGCCUUCUAAAGUGUAAUGCAACCACAGAUUUCUAUGGCGCAACAACAUAGUGAAAUAUAUAACUUAUGAAGGCCAUAAUCCAUGGAAUGUGUAUGGUGUAAGUAAGACCACGGGAAGCAGGCUAUGCCGCUUACCCUCACUGACACGCAACUCUUACUUCCGUGUCAGGGAUUCAGCACCACCGUUUUCAGCACCAAGGACAGAGACCGAAAGAUAUGUGUCCAGCGCGCUGCUUCAGUUGCCGUCUUUAGCACAAAUGUCGUGGAACUGUGGACUGUACGUUUUGUUGUUGUUAUUGUUGUUUUUUUGUUUUUUGUUUUUUUAAACACACAUCGUUCACAACUGAUUUGCCUGAAUGUAUCUAGUGUCCUUUUGUAUUUCUCGCUCGUUCCUUUGCGAUGAUGCGGGAGAAAAGGGUGGAAAAUAGGACCGCUACAACACAAAUAAGCUACAUGGUGACUAUCAUCACAACUUCUCAACUCCCCAAGUUUAGUUCAUAGUCUGUGCUUAUGUAUAUUGUGAUUUUAACGUCUUUUCGUACAUACAAAUUUGGUCUGAAACGAAAGCAUUUGAUUACACACUGAAAUUAUAUGAACUUUCUCAGAAAGCUUCUGAGUGCUGAAACAGAGAGCUAGGAAAAAUAGCACAUGAUAUUUCACACUCCUUGGUCCCCAACUGUAUGCAAUUAUAUGCCUCUAUAUAUAUCUUAAGAGCCACUGUUUUACAGCUCUUAAAUGGUUGUUUGAACAGCACCCCAGUCCUUAGAGAAAGAAGAAAUACACUUGUCUCUGUAAUCAGUGACAACCAAGGAUUUUGAGUCUCUGCCGUUUAAAGUGCAGAUAGUAAUGUAACAAUGUCUAUUUCAUUU
Clupea harengus (Atlantic herring) is the source of this 2022-nucleotide long non-coding RNA. The record is from Ensembl. NCBI's taxonomy places the organism in Eukaryota, Metazoa, Chordata, Actinopteri, Clupeiformes, Clupeidae.